AACGAACGCUGGCGGCAGGCCUAACACAUGCAAGUCGAACGCGUCCUUCGGGACGAGUGGCAGACGGGUGAGUAACGCGUGGGAACGUACCCUUUGGUUCGGAACAACAGCGGGAAACUGCUGCUAAUACCGGAUAAGCCCUUCGGGGGAAAGAUUUAUCGCCAGAGGAUCGGCCCGCGUUAGAUUAGCUUGUUGGUGAGGUAAUGGCUCACCAAGGCUACGAUCUAUAGCUGGUCUGAGAGGAUGAUCAGCCACACUGGGACUGAGACACGGCCCAGACUCUUACGGGAGGCAGCAGUGGGGAAUCUUGGACAAUGGGCGAAAGCCUGAUCCAGCCAUGCCGCGUGAAUGAUGAAGGCCCUAGGGUUGUAAAAUUCUUUCGACGGGGAAGAUAAUGACGGUACCCGUAGAAGAAGCUCCGGCUAACUCCGUGCCAGCAGCCGCGGUAAU
RNAcentral lists this ribosomal RNA (450 nucleotides) under uncultured bacterium. RNAcentral describes it as "bacterial SSU rRNA". It matches the Rfam family "Bacterial small subunit ribosomal RNA", at positions 29 to 524 of the family's 1533-position model. The record is from RNAcentral.